AGAGUUUGAUCCUGGCUCAGGAUGAACGCUGGCGGCGUGCUUAAUACAUGUAAGUCGAACGGGCAUCGCAAGGUGCUAGUGGCGAACGGGUGAGAAACGCGUUGGUGACCUGCCUCAAAGAGAGGGAUAACAGAUCGAAAGAUCUGCUAAUACCGCAUGUGUUCACGGUAGUUAGAGAGCCGUGAAGAAAGCCGAAAGGCACUUUGAGAGGGACCUGCGUCCCAUCAGCUAGUUGGUGAGGUAACGGCCCACCAAGGCGAUGACGGGUAGGGGACCUGAGAGGGUGACCCCCCACAAUGGAACUGAAACACGGUCCAUACACCUACGGGUGGCAGCAGUAGGGAAUAUUGGUUAAUGGGCGCAAGCCUGACCCAGCAACGCCGCGUGAGUGAUGAGGGCCUUCGGGUUGUAAAACUCUUUUUAUGGGGAUGAGGAAGGACAGUACUCAUAGAAUAAGUCUCGGCUAACUACGUGCCAGCAGCCGCGGUAACACGUAGGAGACGAGCGUUAUCCGGAUUUACUGGGUGUAAAGCGCGUGCAGGCGGUAUUGUAAGUUGGAUGUGAAAGCUCCCGGCUUAACUGGGAGAGGUCGUUCAAAACUGCAAGACUAGAGUAUGUCAGAGGAGAGUGGAAUUCCGAGUGUAGCGGUAAAAUGCAUAGAUAUUCGGAAGAACACCAGUGGCGAAGGCGGCUCUCUGGGGCAUAACUGACGCUCAGACGCGAAAGCUAGGGUAGCAAACGGGAUUAGAGACCCCGGUAGUCCUAGCCGUAAACGAUGUGAACUUGGUGUCGGUGGGUUCAAAUCCAUGGGUACCGAAGCAAACGCGAUAAGUUCACCACCUGGGGACUACGGCCGCAAGGUUAAAACUCAAAGGAAUUGACGGGGGCCCGCACAAGCAGCGGAGCGUGUGGUUUAAUUCGAUUUACACGAAGAACCUUACCAGGGUUUGACAUGCAAGUGGUAGGGAAGGGAAACCGGACCGACCCUUCGGGGAGCUUGCACAGGUGUUGCAUGGCUGUCGUCAGCUCGUGUCGUGAGAUGUUCGGUUAAGUCCGCUAACGAGCGCAACCCGCGUUGUGUGUUAUAUGUGUCACACGAUACUGCCGGUCUUAAGCCGGAGGAAGGUGCGGAUGACGUCAAGUCAGCAUGACCUUUAUGUCCUGGGCUACACACACGCUACAAUGGCCAGUACAACGGGUAGCGAAGCCGCGAGGCGGAGCCAAUCCACAAAGCUGGUCUCAGUUCAGAUUGCAGGCUGCAACCCGCCUGCAUGAAGCUGGAGUUGCUAGUAACCGCAGGUCAGCUAUACUGCGGUGAAUACGUUCCCGGGCCUUGUACACACCGCCCGUCACGUCAUGGGAGCUGGUAACACCUGAAGCCGGUAUCCUAACCGUAAGGAGGGAGCCGUCGAGGGUGGGACUGGUGACUGGGACGAAGUCGUAACAAGGUA
Molecule: ribosomal RNA, 1451 nt
Filed under: metagenome
Description: bacterial SSU rRNA
Rfam family: Bacterial small subunit ribosomal RNA
Source: RNAcentral